Long non-coding RNA from Balaenoptera acutorostrata (minke whale), 6004 nucleotides. RefSeq lists it as uncharacterized. The transcript is spliced from 5 exons. The record is from RefSeq and is a predicted model, not a curated record. Lineage: Eukaryota; Metazoa; Chordata; Mammalia; Artiodactyla; Balaenopteridae.
CCUGUGUCAUACAGUAGGUUCUUAUUAGUUAUCUAUUUUAUACACAGUAGUGUGUAUAUGUCAAUCCCAAUCUCCCAAUUUAUCCCUCUCCCCCUCACCCGCUGGUAAUCAUACCUUGAGGAUCAUGAGGCAAUCUCUAUGUGCCUUCACAUAAGAAAUUUACUCUACCCUAUAAGAUCUAAAACAAUCAAAGAAGAAGCGUGGAUUUCGCAUUCACAACCAUUUUUUCCUUUCAAAAACAUGCGUCCGUAACUGUGUCCCUGCAUUCAGGAGAGUUCGACUUUACAUCUGCGAGUGACUUACACACGGGGAGUGGAGGCUCAGACAGAAGUAUUUCUCAAGGACAGAGCGGUAGGAGGGCCGAGGUGAAAACCUGGUUCCUUGCCUCCGAAAGCAGCAUCUUAGCAAAGGUCAGAUGCUUUAUUUAUUAAAUCACUCACUGGACGACUUGUCAGUUGAACACACGCCGGAUGCUAGGAGAGAGAUGAAGAGCCAGUAGCCCUGACUUCAGGGAACUCACUGGACUAAACCAUUGGACGUCAGGUGUUUUCUGGUGAACCAGCCAAAUACCUUCUGGAGGGAAACUUCAAUCCCCACCUGCCUGACCGGGGGCGGGGGUGGGGAUCCUCUAGGCUCCACUUAAAUGCUUGCGAUCAGAGCACCCUGGGGUGGAGACAGCCUCCUGCCUACAUGGGAGUGGGAGAGAAAAGCCCUCUUUGUGUCCACCUUUCUCUGUCCUCACACCUCCCACAGGUCACCCGGGAACUCACCUCCGAUCCAGGCGGGACCUCCUACCCUUGCGUCUGAGAAGAGACAGCACUGCCUCCUGGUGGCCAACUCGAGGCUCUACAGAGUGGCAAGCCGGCCAGGGCCGCCUUCUCUGGAUCCAUUCGGAGAGGGAAAGGGGACAGGCUUCCCCCUGUUCUUCAGCAAAUAAAGGCAUGUGGGAUCUUAGCUCCCCAACCAAGGAUUGAACCUGCACCCCGUGCAUUGGAAGGUGAAGUCUUAACCACUGGACCACCAGGGAAGUCCCUCUGCCUUACCUGUUUGAAUGGUGCAAAACCCAGAUGAGUCUUGGAGGAUGACGGUGGGUUAUCGCACACUUAAUCAGGUGGUCAUGUCCAUCGUAACUGUAGUUCCACAUGUGGUAUCUUUUUUAAAUUUUUUUAAAUUAAUUAAUUUAUUUAUUUUUGGCUGUGUUGGGUCUCCAUUUCUGCGCGAGGGCUUUCUCUAGUUGUGGCGAGCGGGGGCCACUCUUCAUCACGGUGUGCGGGCCUCUAACUAUCGCGGCCUCUCUUGUUGCGGAGCACAGGCUCCAGACGCGCAGGCUCAGUAGUUGUGGCUCACGGGCCCAGUUGCUCCGCGGCAUGUGGGAUCUUCCCAGACCAGGGCUCGAACCCGUGUCCCCUGCAUUGGCAGGCAGAUUCUCAACCACUGUGCCACCAGGGAAGCCCCCACAUGUGGUAUCUUUACUGAAGCAAAUCAACAUUGCUCUACCACCGAGUGUACAGCUGUUGACCUGGCCUAUAUUGAUAAUUUCCCCCAUUUCUAUUAGUAAAGAUGAUCAGAAACAACUCAUUCUCUUGUGGUAGGAGCAUCAGCACACCUACAUCACCCAUCUGUCCUGCUUUGGUCCUGAGAUAGACCAGAGGGAAUUGAAUGUCUUAAUAUCAAAUCAGGUACCACAUCACGUUGAUGACAUUUUGCUAACUGGAGCUGAUGAGAGGAAGUAGCAAGGGUGAGAGGGUAAGAGAUAAGCCCCACAAGAGUUUGGAGACCUACCGUACUGAUAAAGUUUCUAGAGAUGCAGUAGCUGAGAUAUGUCAGAAUAUGCACUCUAAAGUGAAAAUAUACUGUGACACUUUGUAGCACCCAUUUCAAAGAAAUAGACAUAACUGUUGAUGGACUUUUGGCUUUUUGAAGGCUACAUAUAGGAUAUGUAAGCAUGAUCUUGGAACAUGAUUAUUGAGUAACGCUUAAGAUGGCCAGUUUGCGGAGGGGAGCGGGUGGAAAGAGUAAAGAACAAGGUCUACUGCUUAGACUUCCGUAUCAUGUCCAGGAAGUAGUUCAAGCUGUCUUGUCACUUAUGCUGUGUGUCAAGAUAUGCAACGGUAUUUCCUGUGUGAGAGGCAGAUAAUAUAUUUUACAGCAACUGAAAAAUCCCAAAGAAAGAAUCACUGCAUGGUUCCUUGGGUUUGGGAAUGAAACCAUGCCCUCUUCUGCCAGUAACUAGCCUCAAGUUGGUAAGCAGUUCCUGGCCUCCUAUUGACCCUGGUAGAAAUUAAGUGCUUGACCACCAAGUGAUUGCCCAUCAUCACUGUUUUUUCCCAAUCCACCAUCCCUGUGUGGAGCUGUAAUACAUUUGGUUACUUAUGCGUGUAUUAUGCAAAUCCAUCUGCAAACCAGACCUACCCUUUUUUGUUAACUUUUCAUAGGGAACCCUCACGAGGCCACAGGUGUGUGUUGAGGGCAAAGCAGUAGACACAGAAAUAGGCACAGUUUCCAGGUGUUGACAUCACUCAACAUAUAUGGCAGCUCGUGGAACUUUGUUGUCCCCGGCAUUGAGAACACAUUUAUUUUACUUGAAUGACAAACAGGUAAGUGAAGGUUUGGAGGGGACAGAAAGAAUGAACAGUACUGGACACUUUCAUUAUACCAUCCAAACCCACUCUCUGCCUUUCUUCCAUCUGCCUCUACCCUGGGAGGCUGAACUAGCUGGACUUCAUCCAUGGUUCCCUUGCCAUCUGGCUUCUGGUUGUUUCACAUAAAUGGGAAGCAUUGGCGGGAGACUGGACUGGAGAACAGAGUGAAAUCAGGGUACUUAUUUCCUGGAUUCCUCUGUGAUGGGUCGUUAUAUGUUGAAGUAAGUUUCUCUACCAAGACCACAGCCCCUGUCAGGAAACCCUCUGCUACAACAACAGCUACUAUCUCUGGGUUCUGGUCAACUUUUCCUCUCCUUAACCUUCAGUCCUGAGGGUAGUAAUGGUUCCUCCAUCUUGCUAGUUUAGAGCGUUUCAAGCAUCGCUCUUGGUUUCCUGAAACCCUGCUUCCAUAUUUAUAAGCAGCCUCUUCAUUAAACCUUCCUCAAUUACCCACUUGAGUAUGGCAUCUGUUUCCUGCUAGAGUGUAAGGGAUAUACAUUCAGAUCAGAUUCUCAGAGCAAAACUUCAAGUAAUUAGAAAUCAGCAACAAGCACAGACUUAAAUGGACUCAAAUUACUCAAGAUAAUAAGUUAUUCCCAUAGGAAGCUAAGACAUAUUUGGAACUGAAUAACAAGAAGUGUUCUACAUCAUAGUCAUCUAUGGUAGGACCAAAAAAAAGGGAAAUAUGUGCAUUAAUAAAAGGAAAAGAUUAAAAGUAAAUAUCUGAAGAACUUAAAAGCUUAGAAUAAGCUUUUAAAACUAGGGCAGACAUAAUAGGUAGGAAAUUAAUAAAAUGGAAAAAGAAAAAAAACAAAUGAGCUUCAACAAAAGAAAAAUUUGCUUUUUUAAAACCUCUAAGAAGAAAGAUCAAGAAGAGAGAAGAAAAGGAACAAAAAAUUUCUUACUAGUUAUCAAGACUUACAAAACUGUAGUAAUGAAAACACUAUGAUAUCAAUGCCAACAUAUAUAACAGAAAAGAAUAACUAUUAAUUAUGGAACAUUGAUAAAUGACAUUGCAAAUCAGAGAAGAAAAGCUAAGCUAUUCAAUAAAUAGAGCUGGGAAAAUUGUUUAUGCAUACAUAAAAAAGCUGAUACCUACCUCACACCACAAAAAGAGAAAAAAUUUAAUGAAUUAACUGUCAAUAUGUAAAAAUCAAACCCCCAAAUCUUACCAAAAAAUAAAGACAAUGCCUUGGGGAAAAGAAGAAAUUAUUAAACAGGUGACAAAAAUCACAAUCAAUGAAGAAAAAGAUGGAUAAGUUUAAAUUUAUAUAUGUGCAUAUAAAGCAUAAAUAAUAUAUAUAAUGUUUGCAGAACUGUGCAUGUAUUAUAUAAUCAUCAUAAAAAGGUAUUUAGUCACCCAAGAAAGUAAGCCACUACCAUGUGCUGAUAACUCUCCAAACUGCUAUAGAUCCUACAGCAAAGCUGACGUGAUCUCUGCCCUGGACCGUAUGUUGGCAGAUAAGCAAACAGGUUGAACAACGCUGCACUUAAUAACACAAUGAAAAUAUUACUGUUACUAUCAUCCACACCAUCAUAAAGGAGCUUAUUUCCAGACAAAUUAUUAAUCGAUGUAUCAAUGUAGUUGUGGUGAGAUAUGGCAGACCAGGGGGUGACCGAUUCUCCUAAGGCAUUUACCCUGUUUGUUUAGUCAUUCAGUAAGUAUUUAUUGACUGACCCUUGAAUGCCACUGUAAUAAGCCCUGGGAGAAAAGGUGAAUAAGAAACAAUUUCUCCUCCAAGCAGAAAAUCCCUGAGAUCACCGCUGGGUAGAAGCAGACGCAUAAACAGGAAGGUACAGUAUCUUGUAAUGGGCAUUAUGGUGGGGGGAACUUAUUGUGCUAUGGGGGCAUAUUGAAGCACCUACCCCACACUCUGGGGAGAGGGGUAGGUGGGUUUAUGGUGGUACUUCAAAGCCCAACAGUGAAGGCAAGGAAAAUAUUUUAAUUCAGAUAACUGAGUGAAUCAUAAGUCAGAAUUCUAAAUGCAUACAUUGCUAUAAAAUUAUAAUCAUGUGUUAAAGGCUGUCAUUCCAGUUUUGAGCCAAGAAAGUUCAGAGGUUCAGAACAAAACAGGUAUUUCAGAGACCUCAACAACAAAAGUUGCUACAGCAGGAGUUUUCUGAGGUAAGGAUAGUGCAGCAGCAGAGUAACUAUUGUUUCUUGGAAAAGCAUAAAACUAAGAGGCAAAAAUCUUGAGUCUCUGUCCUGAUUUUGCUGCACACUCACUUUCUAAAGCUUAGAGUAAGCCAAUUAUCCUCCAGCGUUUGGGAAUAACAUCACAAACAUAAUGUGUUUAUUAUGAGAAUUAGAGCAUUAAGGUUAAAGUGCUUAAUAAAGCAGUACACGAAUAUUAUUAUUAAGUGGCAUGUGCUUAUGAAGACUCUAGCAGCAUUUCUCACUGAUGGAAAUUACAUCAUCUUCAUAAUUGCUUCAUUUUGUCUUUAUUGAGGUAUAAUUUUCAUAUAAUAAACUGCACACAUCGUUAGUGGAUCAUUCAUUGAGUGUGGCAAUUUUAUACAUAAUAUAACUACAAACUUCAAAACAUCAAAAUGUAGAACCUUACCCUACCCGGAAAAGGUUGUCUUCCUAUAAAUUAAUUCUACCAAAAAAAAAAAAAAAACCCACUACUGUCCUUAUAUGUAGAAUCUAAAAUACAACACAAAUGAACCUAGCUACGAAACAGAAACAGACUCACAGACAUAGAGAACAGACUUGUGUUUGCCAAGGGGGGAGGGGGGAGGCAAGGAUUGGGAGUUUGGGAUUAGCAGAUGAGAGCUAUUACAUAUAGGAUGGAUAAACAACAAGGCCCUACUGUAUAGCACAAGGAACAAUAUUCAAUAUUCAAUAUCCAAUAUUCAAUAUUCACAAUGGAAAAAAUAUGAAAAAGAAUGUAUAUAUAGGUAUAACUGAAUCACUUUGCUGUACAGCAGAAAUUAACGCAACAUUGUAAAUCAACUAUACUUCAAUAAAAUAAAUUUUUUUUAAAAACUACUGUCCUGUUUAUAUCACCAUGCUUAUGAAGGAUUUUAAUCUGUAUUUUUCUUUUCUAGUAAUAUCCCUGUCAGAUUUCUGGCCUCAUGGUUAUACCGGUCUCAUAAAAAUACUGAGAAGUGUUUUCUCCUCCUCCCCUUUCUGGAAAAAAAAUGUGCAAUAAUGGGUGGGAUCUCCUGCAACUCACUACAUCCCAGCUGCUGAAGUGUCCAUUUGAAGCUGUGUUCGUGUCUAGGGUGUGGAUGUGAAUAAAUCAUCCUUGGGGUCAGAAAGAAAUAAACGCCAAUUUAAAUAGUUCUCUGGGCAAAGGAAGAAAAACUGGAACAGGAGAAGCAGAGAUUUCAAAGAAGGGCUAGCUUUAGGCAGAGGU